Molecule: transfer RNA, 69 nt
Filed under: Lamoria adaptella
Lineage: Eukaryota; Metazoa; Arthropoda; Insecta; Lepidoptera; Pyralidae
Also listed under: 1 other name
Description: tRNA-Gln
Source: RNAcentral
UAUAUUUUAGUGUAUGAGGCACAAUAGUUUUUGAUACUAUUAGAUAUAGUUUAAUUCUAUAAAAUAUAA